Long non-coding RNA from Eriocheir sinensis (Chinese mitten crab), 465 nucleotides. RefSeq lists it as uncharacterized. The transcript has 2 exons. The record is from RefSeq and is a predicted model, not a curated record. NCBI's taxonomy places the organism in Eukaryota, Metazoa, Arthropoda, Malacostraca, Decapoda, Varunidae.
GGUACUAGUGGUGAUGGUAGGUGUGAUGGUGAUGAUGGUGAUGAGUAAUAGAAACGGUGAUGAUGGUGUUGGUACUUGUGGUGAUGAUGAGGAUUGUUGAGGUACCAAAUGGUGUUUGAAUAUGAUGGUGGUUGAGUCGUUAAGGGAUCGAUAGACAUUACAAGGCAUUUACACACAUUUAUUUCCCUCGCAGAAAUGGCGGAAGAGGAGAGGAGGGAGAGGAACACGAAUAAAGAGGAGAAAGAAGAGGAGGAACACGAAAAAGAGAAGAGGAAGAAGAAGAAGAGGACUCAAGACUCAUCUCCCAGCAGUGUGUGAGUCUUGAGGCUCCAAGCACCGACUGACUCACCAGGACUCUACAUAGCUGGGAGGGAGUCACCAGCCACAGAUGAAUCUCCACUGGUCAUCUCUCCUUACCUCUUCAGAAACCAACUUGCAGUAUUACCAAUGAAAAAAAUACUGUUC